ACAGUUAAAAAAUAAUUAUUACAAAAACAAACUCAAAUUAACCCGCAAAUAACAAUGCUUUCGCUUGAUCUUCCAAACAGCCAAGUAAAAAAUGCAAACCAAAACAAAUUCAGUCACAAGAAAUGGUAGCUUUCAGCAUCCCAUGUAGCAAGCAUCAUCUCUUAACAUAAUCUAUUAACAUAAUACUUACAUCUACAAAACUACAAAUAUGAGAACUCCCCUUGCUUCUCUCCCAUUAUUUAAGAAGGGAUCUUGUUA
This 258-nucleotide unclassified non-coding RNA is filed under the name Hevea brasiliensis (rubber tree). Lineage: Eukaryota; Viridiplantae; Streptophyta; Magnoliopsida; Malpighiales; Euphorbiaceae. The record is from RNAcentral.